Molecule: ribosomal RNA, 815 nt
Filed under: uncultured Alphaproteobacteria bacterium
Lineage: Bacteria; Pseudomonadati; Pseudomonadota; Alphaproteobacteria
Description: bacterial SSU rRNA
Rfam family: Bacterial small subunit ribosomal RNA
Source: RNAcentral
AUACUUAGUGGCAGACGGGUGAGUAACAUGUGGGUAUCUACCCUUUGGCCUGGAAUAACACGAGGAAACUUGUGCUAAUACCGGAUAAGUCUUUACGGAGAAAGCUUUAUGCACCAUUGGAUGAGCCCGCACUUGAUUAGUUUGUUGGUAGGGUAAUGGCCUACCAAGACUAUGAUCAAUAGCUGAUUUGAGAGGAUGAUCAGCCACAUUGGGACUGAGACACGGCCCAAACUCCUACGGGAGGCAGCAGUGGGGAAUCUUGCACAAUGGAGGAAACUCUGAUGCAGCGAUGCCGCGUGAGUGAAGAAGGCCUUUGGGUUGUAAAGCCCUUUCGUCGGGGAAGAAAAUGACUGUACCCGAAUAAGAAGGUCCGGCUAACUUCGUGCCAGCAGCCGCGGUAAUACGAAGGGACCUAGCGUAGUUCGGAAUUACUGGGCUUAAAGAGUUCGUAGGUGGUUGAAAAAGUUGGUGGUGAAAUCCCAGAGCUUAACUCUGGAACUGCCAUCAAAACUUUUCAGCUAGAGUAUGAUAGAGGAAAGCAGAAUUUCUAGUGUAGAGGUGAAAUUCGUAGAUAUUAGAAAGAAUACCAAUUGCGAAGGCAGCUUUCUGGAUCAUUACUGACACUGAGGAACGAAAGCAUGGGUAGCGAAGAGGAUUAGAUACCCUCGUAGUCCAUGCCGUAAACGAUGUGUGUUAGACGUUGGAAAUUUAUUUUCAGUGUCGCAGGGAAACCGAUAAACACACCGCCUGGGGAGUACGACCGCAAGGUUAAAACUCAAAUGAAUUGACGGGGACCCGCACAAGUAGUGGAGCAU